RNAcentral lists this non-coding RNA (24 nucleotides) under Arabidopsis thaliana (thale cress). The record is from RNAcentral. Lineage: Eukaryota; Viridiplantae; Streptophyta; Magnoliopsida; Brassicales; Brassicaceae.
GAUAUUGGGUGGACUUAUACCAAA